This 243-nucleotide long non-coding RNA is filed under the name Lathyrus oleraceus (garden pea). Its description in RNAcentral is "Pisum sativum (pea) long non-coding RNA (PSAT_LNC033385)". Lineage: Eukaryota; Viridiplantae; Streptophyta; Magnoliopsida; Fabales; Fabaceae. The record is from RNAcentral.
UAGAGUUGUGUUUAUUAGUGAUUAAUUGGCGUGUUGAUUAUUGUAGAAUGUGAAGUUGUUGUGUUUUGAUUGAUAUAAUAGAGACUGGUAUGAGUUGUGAGAGAUAUACGAUGAGGAAGAUGAACGAUACAGAGAAAACUGGGAUUUCUAGAAAAUUUUAUGAUGUCAGUCGAUUGACACCAAAUGACAAUCGAUUGCUUGUUCUUAUUUUUGGAAAUUUUGCUUAUGACAUUAGAUGACAAU